RNAcentral lists this ribosomal RNA (468 nucleotides) under uncultured bacterium. RNAcentral describes it as "partial 16S ribosomal RNA". It matches the Rfam family "Bacterial small subunit ribosomal RNA", at positions 28 to 507 of the family's 1533-position model. The record is from RNAcentral.
GACGAACGCUGGCGGCGUGCUUAACACAUGCAAGUCGAACGGAAAGGCCCUGCUUUUGUGGGGUGCUCGAGUGGCGAACGGGUGAGUAACACGUGAGUAACCUGCACUUGACUUUGGGCUAACUUCAGGCAACUGGGGCUAAUACCGGAUAGGAGAUCCUGCUGCAUGGAGGCGGUUGGAAAGUUUCGGCGGUGGGGGAAGGACUCGCGGCUUAUCAGCUUGUUGGUGGGGUAGUGGCUUACCAAGGCUUUGACGGGUAGCCGGCCUGAGAGGGUGAGCGGCCACAUUGGGUCUGAGAUACGGCCCAGACCCCUACGGGAGGGAGCAGUGGGGAAUAUUGCACAAUGGGCUGAAGCCUGAUGCAGCAACGCCGCGUGCGGUAUGACGGCCUUCGGGUUGUAAACCGCUGUCGCCUGUGACGAAGCGUGAGUGACGGUACUGGGUAAAGAAGCACCGGCUAACUACGUG